GCCAGACUCCUACGGGAGGCAGCAGUGGGGAAUAUUGCACAAUGGGGGAAACCCUGAUGCAGCGACGCCGCGUGAGUGAAGAAGUAUUUCGGUAUGUAAAGCUCUAUCAGCAGGGAAGAAAAUGACGGUACCUGAUUAAGAAGCCCCGGCUAACUACGUGCCAGCAGCCGCGGUAAUACGUAGGGGGCAAGCGUUAUCCGGAUUUACUGGGUGUAAAGGGAGCGUAGACGGUGAUGCAAGUCAGAAGUGAAAGCCCGGGGCUCAACUCCGGGACUGCUUUUGAAACUGUGUGACUGGAGUGCAGGAGAGGUAAGCGGAAUUCCUGGUGUAGCGGUGAAAUGCGUAGAUAUCAGGAGGAACACCAGUGGCGAAGGCGGCUUACUGGACUGUAACUGACGUUGAGGCUCGAAAGCGUGGGGAGCAAACAGGAUUAGAUACCCUUGUACC
This 447-nucleotide ribosomal RNA is filed under the name uncultured bacterium. RNAcentral's name for it is "bacterial SSU rRNA". It matches the Rfam family "Bacterial small subunit ribosomal RNA", at positions 330 to 794 of the family's 1533-position model. The record is from RNAcentral.